GCUGUGAACAAUAUAUCUAACUGGAAAUGAAUCUUAUAGGCUUUUUAGAAAAAAGUUGAGAAAAUCUAUGACUUUAUGAGACUUCAUUAGAUUUAUGGACUUUGGUAUUGCAUGUAGUGUCUGACUGAAAACUUAUCAGAAGUUCAACUGCUCCAUAAAUUAACCACAUAAUUGUAAUUGUAAAUAAAUACAGGUUUUAGGAGCCUGUAAUUCAGUGGUUGUUGUUUGUUUAUGUGUUACAUACAUGUAUAUACUUGUUUUUCAUUCAUUUUUUUAUAAAUAAGGCCAUUAGUUUUUUUGCUUGAACUGUUUUACAGAGUCAUUUCGGGGUCUCUUAUAGCUGACUAUGCGGUAUGGGCUUUGCUCAUUGUUGAAUGCCAAACAGUUACCUAUAAUUGUUAAUUUCUGUGUCAUUUUGGUCGUUUGUGGAGAGUUGUCUCAUUUGCAAUUAUACCACAUCUUCUUUUUUAUAUUUAUCAUAAUUAAAGUAAAUAUAUUUU
RNAcentral lists this long non-coding RNA (500 nucleotides) under Mytilus galloprovincialis (Mediterranean mussel). Lineage: Eukaryota; Metazoa; Mollusca; Bivalvia; Mytilida; Mytilidae. The record is from RNAcentral.